AGACACGGCCCAGACUCCUACGGGAGGCAGCAGUGGGGAAUAUUGGACAAUGGGCGAAAGCCUGAUCCAGCAAUGCCGCGUGGGUGAAGACGGCCUGCGGGUUGUAAAGCCCUUUAGGCGGGGAGGAACGACGGGACGUGAAUAACGUUUCGGAGUGACGUUACCCGCGGAAUAAGCACCGGCUAACUCCGUGCCAGCAGCCGCGGUAAUACGGAGGGUGCGAGCGUUAAUCGGAAUUACUGGGCGUAAAGCGUGCGUAGGCGGAUGGGUCAGUCAGCCGUGAAAGCCCCGGGCUUAACCUGGGAACGGCGGUUGAGACGGCCCGUCUUGAGUGGGCUAGAGGAUCGUGGAACUCCCGGUGUAGCGGUGAAAUGCGUAGAGAUCGGGAAGAACACCGAUGGCGAAGGCAGCGAUCUGGGGCCACACUGACGCUGAGGCACGACGGCGUGGGGAGCAAACAGGAUUAGAUACCCUGGUAGUCCACGCGGUAAACGAUGAGCACUAGACGUUGGGCGGGUGACCGUCCGGUGUCGUAGCUAACGCGCUAAGU
This 550-nucleotide ribosomal RNA is filed under the name uncultured bacterium. RNAcentral describes it as "bacterial SSU rRNA". It matches the Rfam family "Bacterial small subunit ribosomal RNA", at positions 322 to 865 of the family's 1533-position model. The record is from RNAcentral.